GAUGAACGCUGGCGGCGUGCCUAAUACAUGCAAGUCGAACGAAAAUUAGCUUCGGUUAAUUUUAGUGGCGGACGGGUGAGUAACACGUGAGAAUUUGCCUUUAGGAGGGGGAUAACGAGUGGAAACAUUCGCUAAAACCCCAUAUGCCCACGGGUGAAAAAGAGGAAACUCUGCCUGAAGAGAAGCUCGCGGCUGAUUAGCUAGUUGGUAGGGUAAUGCCCUACCAAGGCGACGAUCAGUAGCUGGUCUGAGAGGACGAUCAGCCACACUGGAACUGAGACACGGUCCAGACUCCUACGGGAGGCAGCAGUGAGGAAUUUUCUGCAAUGGGCGAAAGCCUGACAGAGCAAUACCGCGUGAGGGAUGAAGACUUACUGAGUUGUAAACCUCGGUGCCUUAAGGAAGAAGAUCUGACGGUACUUAAGGUGGAAAGCAUCGGCUAACUCCGUGCCAGCCGCCGCAGUAA
This 466-nucleotide ribosomal RNA is filed under the name uncultured bacterium. RNAcentral's name for it is "partial 16S ribosomal RNA". It matches the Rfam family "Bacterial small subunit ribosomal RNA", at positions 28 to 523 of the family's 1533-position model. The record is from RNAcentral.